This 1644-nucleotide ribosomal RNA is filed under the name Salmonella enterica. RNAcentral describes it as "partial 23S ribosomal RNA". It matches the Rfam family "Bacterial large subunit ribosomal RNA", at positions 711 to 2336 of the family's 2925-position model. Lineage: Bacteria; Pseudomonadati; Pseudomonadota; Gammaproteobacteria; Enterobacterales; Enterobacteriaceae. RNAcentral also lists the same sequence under 1 other name. The record is from RNAcentral.
AGACCCGAAACCCGGUGAUCUAGCCAUGGGCAGGUUGAAGGUUGGGUAACACUAACUGGAGGACCGAACCGACUAAUGUUGAAAAAUUAGCGGAUGACCUGUGGCUGGGGGUGAAAGGCCAAUCAAACCGGGAGAUAGCUGGUUCUCCCCGAAAGCUAUUUAGGUAGCGCCUCGUGAAUUCAUCUCCGGGGGUAGAGCACUGUUUCGGCUAGGGGGCCAUCCCGGCUUACCAACCCGAUGCAAACUGCGAAUACCGGAGAAUGUUAUCACGGGAGACACACGGCGGGUGCUAACGUCCGUCGUGAAGAGGGAAACAACCCAGACCGCCAGCUAAGGUCCCAAAGUCAUGGUUAAGUGGGAAACGAUGUGGGAAGGCCCAGACAGCCAGGAUGUUGGCUUAGAAGCAGCCAUCAUUUAAAGAAAGCGUAAUAGCUCACUGGUCGAGUCGGCCUGCGCGGAAGAUGUAACGGGGCUAAACCAUGCACCGAAGCUGCGGCAGCGACACUGUGUGUUGUUGGGUAGGGGAGCGUUCUGUAAGCCUGUGAAGGUGUGUCGUGAGGCAUGCUGGAGGUAUCAGAAGUGCGAAUGCUGACAUAAGUAACGAUAAAGCGGGUGAAAAGCCCGCUCGCCGGAAGACCAAGGGUUCCUGUCCAACGUUAAUCGGGGCAGGGUGAGUCGACCCCUAAGGCGAGGCCGAAAGGCGUAGUCGAUGGGAAACGGGUUAAUAUUCCCGUACUUGGUGUUACUGCGAAGGGGGGACGGAGAAGGCUAUGUUGGCCGGGCGACGGUUGUCCCGGUUUAAGCGUGUAGGUGUGUGUUCCAGGUAAAUCCGGUUCACUUUAACACUGAGGCGUGACGACGAGGCACUACGGUGCUGAAGCAACAAAUGCCCUGCUUCCAGGAAAAGCCUCUAAGCAUCAGGUAACAUCAAAUCGUACCCCAAACCGACACAGGUGGUCAGGUAGAGAAUACCAAGGCGCUUGAGAGAACUCGGGUGAAGGAACUAGGCAAAAUGGUGCCGUAACUUCGGGAGAAGGCACGCUGACACGUAGGUGAAGUGAUUUACUCAUGGAGCUGAAGUCAGUCGAAGAUACCAGCUGGCUGCAACUGUUUAUUAAAAACACAGCACUGUGCAAACACGAAAGUGGACGUAUACGGUGUGACGCCUGCCCGGUGCCGGAAGGUUAAUUGAUGGGGUCAGCGCAAGCGAAGCUCCUGAUCGAAGCCCCGGUAAACGGCGGCCGUAACUAUAACGGUCCUAAGGUAGCGAAAUUCCUUGUCGGGUAAGUUCCGACCUGCACGAAUGGCGUAAUGAUGGCCAGGCUGUCUCCACCCGAGACUCAGUGAAAUUGAACUCGCUGUGAAGAUGCAGUGUACCCGCGGCAAGACGGAAAGACCCCGUGAACCUUUACUAUAGCUUGACACUGAACAUUGAGCCUUGAUGUGUAGGAUAGGUGGGAGGCUUUGAAGUGUGGACGCCAGUCUGCAUGGAGCCGACCUUGAAAUACCACCCUUUAAUGUUUGAUGUUCUAACGUGGACCCGUUACCCGGGUUGCGGACAGUGUCUGGUGGGUAGUUUGACUGGGGCGGUCUCCUCCUAAAGAGUAACGGAGGAGCACGAAGGUUGGCUAAUCCUGGUCGGAC